This 230-nucleotide ribosomal RNA is filed under the name uncultured bacterium. Its description in RNAcentral is "partial 16S ribosomal RNA". It matches the Rfam family "Bacterial small subunit ribosomal RNA", at positions 524 to 753 of the family's 1533-position model. The record is from RNAcentral.
UACGGAGGGGCUAGCGUUGUUCGGAAUUACUGGGCGUAAAGCGCGCGUAGGCGGCUUUGUAAGUUAGAGGUGAAAGCCCGGAGCUCAACUCCGGAAUUGCCUUUAAGACUGCAUCGCUAGAAUCAUGGAGAGGUGAGUGGAAUUCCGAGUGUAGAGGUGAAAUUCGUAGAUAUUCGGAAGAACACCAGUGGCGAAGGCGACUCACUGGACAUGUAUUGACUGCUGAGGUG